AGAGAGUUGCUUGAAUGGUAAAAGGCAAGUUUGCUAAACUUAGGCCCAUUGAUAUUAUAUAAUGGAGCAGGUUCGAUUCCUGUACUCUCUU
RNAcentral lists this transfer RNA (91 nucleotides) under Cryptomonas gyropyrenoidosa. Its description in RNAcentral is "tRNA-Ser". It matches the Rfam family "tRNA". From Rfam's summary of the family: Transfer RNA (tRNA) molecules are approximately 80 nucleotides in length. Lineage: Eukaryota; Cryptophyceae; Cryptomonadales; Cryptomonadaceae. The record is from RNAcentral.